Gossypium raimondii (Peruvian cotton) is the source of this 107-nucleotide small nucleolar RNA. It matches the Rfam family "Plant small nucleolar RNA R71". From Rfam's summary of the family: R71 is a member of the C/D box family of snoRNAs containing the C (UGAUGA) and D (CUGA) box motifs. Multiple nearly identical copies of this snoRNA have been identified in Arabidopsis, and it is thought to function as a 2'-O-ribose methylation guide for 18S ribosomal RNA. NCBI's taxonomy places the organism in Eukaryota, Viridiplantae, Streptophyta, Magnoliopsida, Malvales, Malvaceae. The record is from Rfam.
AACCCACGGUGAGGGCACCAUCUCAACAAGUCUUUGUACCUUUCCCAUGCAUCAUAUAAAGUCUCUAAAUCGCUAUGCACAAAGGAGGAGAUAUCAUUCCUCAACUU